Molecule: ribosomal RNA, 448 nt
Filed under: uncultured bacterium
Lineage: Bacteria
Description: partial 16S ribosomal RNA
Rfam family: Bacterial small subunit ribosomal RNA
Source: RNAcentral
GUGGGGAAUAUUGGACAAUGGGCGAAAGCCUGAUCCAGCCAUGCCGCGUGUGUGAAGAAGGUCUUCGGAUUGUAAAGCACUUUAAGUUGGGAGGAAGGGUAGUAACCUAAUACGUUGCUACUUUGACGUUACCGACAGAAUAAGCACCGGCUAACUUCGUGCCAGCAGCCGCGGUAAUACGAAGGGUGCAAGCGUUAAUCGGAAUUACUGGGCGUAAAGCGCGCGUAGGUGGUUCAGUAAGUUGGAAGUGAAAUCCCCGGGCUCAACCUGGGAACUGCUUUCAAAACUGCUGAGCUAGAGUACGGUAGAGGGUGGUGGAAUUUCCUGUGUAGCGGUGAAAUGCGUAGAUAUCUGGAGGAACACCGGUGGCGAAGGCGGCUACCUGGUCGAGUACUGACACUGAGACACGAAAGCAUGGGGAUCAAACAGGAUUAGAAACCCGUGUUCC